Molecule: transfer RNA, 72 nt
Rfam family: tRNA
About the family: Transfer RNA (tRNA) molecules are approximately 80 nucleotides in length. Their secondary structure includes four short double-helical elements and three loops (D, anti-codon, and T loops). Further hydrogen bonds mediate the characteristic L-shaped molecular structure. tRNAs have two regions of fundamental functional importance: the anti-codon, which is responsible for specific mRNA codon recognition, and the 3' end, to which the tRNAs corresponding amino acid is attached (by aminoacyl-tRNA synthetases). tRNAs cope with the degeneracy of the genetic code in two manners: having more than one tRNA (with a specific anti-codon) for a particular amino acid; and 'wobble' base-pairing, i.e. permitting non-standard base-pairing at the 3rd anti-codon position.
UGGGGAGUCGCCAAGCGGUAAGGCAGUGGACUUUGACUCCGCUAUUCGUAGGUUCGAAUCCUGCCUCCCCAG